This 253-nucleotide ribosomal RNA is filed under the name uncultured bacterium. RNAcentral describes it as "partial 16S ribosomal RNA". It matches the Rfam family "Bacterial small subunit ribosomal RNA", at positions 524 to 776 of the family's 1533-position model. The record is from RNAcentral.
UACGAAGGGGGCUAGCGUUGUUCGGAAUUACUGGGCGUAAAGCGCGCAUAGGCGGCGCAGCAAGUCAGGGGUGAAAUCCCGGAGCUCAACUCCGGAACUGCCUUUGAAACUGCUGUGCUGGAAUCUCAGAGGGGAUAGCGGAAUUCCAAAUGUAGGGGUGAAAUCCGUAGAUAUUUGGAGGAACACCGGUGGCGAAGGCGGCUAUCUGGAUGAGUAUUGACGCUGAGGCGCGAAAGCGUGGGGAUCAAACAGG